This 84-nucleotide non-coding RNA is filed under the name Polynucleobacter kasalickyi. RNAcentral's name for it is "Polynucleobacter sp. VK13 Glycine riboswitch aptamer". It matches the Rfam family "Glycine riboswitch aptamer". From Rfam's summary of the family: This family represents the bacterial glycine riboswitch. Glycine riboswitches usually consist of two metabolite-binding aptamers domains with similar structures in tandem. RNAcentral also lists the same sequence under 1 other name. The record is from Rfam by way of RNAcentral. Lineage: Bacteria; Pseudomonadati; Pseudomonadota; Betaproteobacteria; Burkholderiales; Burkholderiaceae.
AAAUUAUUGAUAGGAGAGAGUGAUUUUCACCGCCGAAGGCGCAAACGCCCGUAAACGCUCAGGCAAAAGGACUGUCAAUAUUUU